GCCAUGUGAGAUGUACCUUUCACUUUCCUCCAUGAUUGUGAGGCCUCCUUAGCCACAUGGAACUGAAAUGCUGGAGUCCUUCAUCCGAAUGGUAAAUGGCACUUGUGACAAAAAUCAAAGUAACUAAAAAAGAAUCUGGUUGAAACCUCAGUAACAGUUGGCCUGUCUACUGCCUCACACUAACAAGGGGGAGCUAAUAAAACCGAGGUUAGAACACACAAUGUGGAAAUGAAAACCUUAUUCUUGUCAAUGGAUGGAGGGUGGAUUCUGUUAUGUGGAAUGCCUUUAUACAUCUUUGUCUACUGGUUGGGAUGCUGCUCAUUUCCCUUUUCCUGAAAGCUUUCCAGACACUCAAGUGACCCCCACCUUUACAAGUGUCUGUAAUUCUCACUAGCAGUAUAUUAGAGGGCAAAAGAUUUGAACAGACACAUCAGAAAAGAAGACAUACAAAUGGCCGCUAAGCACUUGAAAGGAUUCUGAACACCAUUAGUCAUCAGUGAAAUGCAAAUUAAAGCCAUAAUGAAUGGCGCUAUACAUUUUCAGAAUGGCAAGGAUUGAAGACCGAAAAAAAUCAAGCGUUGAGGAGAGUGACAAAUGGGGAGACAGCCGUGGUGCAUGAUCGCCGAAUAAAUACCAUGUGAGGAUACAGCAAGAAGGUGGCCAUCUACAAGCCAAGGAGACAGGCCUCAGAAGAAACCAACCCUUCUUACACCCUGGACUCAGACUUCUAAUCUCCAGAACUUGUUAAUGCACAAGGUCUUGUGUUGAAAAUGUAGAGCCACGAGAUAAAAGCAGCUUGGAUGGCUGACUCAUAUACAAGGACAACUGCCUGAGAGUCACCAGGGCUAUCAAGAAGUUUGCAGAAACAAGAAAUAAACUUUUACUGUUUUAAACUUUUGUGAAUUUUGGGUUUUGUUUAUCACCAAAUAAACCUAGUCUAUUCUGAUUGUUAUAAGUGGUUAAUUUGGGAAGUCAGAUAUAUUUAAAAUUGGCUUACUGCUGUAACAUAUACAGUCCAAAUUACAUAAUGGCUCAAAUGCAAUAGAAGUCUUUUUUUUUUUUGCUCACAUAUCACUUCACUGAGAUUCUGCAUUAAUUGUAAUGAUGAGGGUGAGGGUGUCU
RNAcentral lists this long non-coding RNA (1122 nucleotides) under Homo sapiens (human). RNAcentral describes it as "HSALNT0066328". Lineage: Eukaryota; Metazoa; Chordata; Mammalia; Primates; Hominidae. The record is from RNAcentral.